GCGGACGCUGGGGCUGGUUGCUGAAUCCGAGCCAGUUUUUGCGGCGAGGAGGGCGAGGGGCCGCGCGGCAGCUCCCCGCUGCCCCAGCCCGGCCCCUCGGGCGGGCCCCGCAUCUCUGCGAGCCCCCAGGAGCGCUUCUGCCUGGGGGGCUAAACUCUGUCCCGUUGGUGGGAGUGUUAAGGCCCAGGGGCUGCGGCUGGGGGUGUCUCCCGUCGGUGGUUGGAGGCAGGCGGGGGGGGGGAGCCCCUUCGAGCAGCGGAGAAAUACCAUGCCGGGGGGGGGAAGCUUCUGUCCCCUCCGACCUGUGAGGGCGACUGCGCGCAGAGAGGGCCGGGGGGUGACUUGCUGUGGGGAGAGCUCGUGGUGUCAGGGAGCAAUUUCAAUCCGCCCCGGGGAUCCUUAGGCGCUGAGCCCAAAGUUACACUGACUCCGCGCAUCCAGGCUGCUGCGCUGUGCUCUGGGGGUUCGGGCCGCUUGUCUCCCCUGCGCUCUGCAGCACCGCAUUGCAACGCGCAGGCCAAGGCCGCCUCUCUGCUUGCAGAGAGACUGAACUGAAUUUGACCCACAGCCUCUUGCUUCUCCUCGCGGCUGCUUUCCUGUGCUAUUCUGGACGAAGGUUGUGAUGGGUUUGGUCAUAGAGACCGCCUUGGAACUGUCACCCGAUGUGCUGAAACUACCUCUGAGCCAGUCUUCCCUGCCAACUUGGGUCUCCAGAACCCUGUCUUGUUGAGCCAGACACACAAGACUGCUGCAACACAGACCCAGGGUCUGAACCACACCCCCAAAGUUGAAAACUUAACUGAAAACAGCUCAGAAGUGCUGUGACUGAAAGAUAUGAACAAGACUGUGCAGCUGCUCACAAGAGGCGUGUCACACAAGGCUCUGACCAGGACGUCGGGG
This is a long non-coding RNA of Caretta caretta (loggerhead turtle), 900 nucleotides long. RefSeq lists it as uncharacterized. NCBI's taxonomy places the organism in Eukaryota, Metazoa, Chordata, Testudines, Cheloniidae. The record is from RefSeq and is a predicted model, not a curated record.